This 705-nucleotide ribosomal RNA is filed under the name Bacillus velezensis. RNAcentral describes it as "bacterial SSU rRNA". It matches the Rfam family "Bacterial small subunit ribosomal RNA", at positions 405 to 1100 of the family's 1533-position model. Lineage: Bacteria; Bacillati; Bacillota; Bacilli; Caryophanales; Bacillaceae. The record is from RNAcentral.
GUGAUGAAGGUUUUCGGAUCGUAAAGCUCUGUUGUUAGGGAAGAACAAGUGCCGUUCAAAUAGGGCGGCACCUUGACGGUACCUAACCAGAAAGCCACGGCUAACUACGUGCCAGCAGCCGCGGUAAUACGUAGGUGGCAAGCGUUGUCCGGAAUUAUUGGGCGUAAAGGGCUCGCAGGCGGUUUCUUAAGUUUGAUGUGAAAGCCCCCGGCUCAACCGGGGAGGGUCAUUGGAAACUGGGGAACUUGAGUGCAGAAGAGGAGAGUGGAAUUCCACGUGUAGCGGUGAAAUGCGUAGAGAUGUGGAGGAACACCAGUGGCGAAGGCGACUCUCUGGUCUGUAACUGACGCUGAGGAGCGAAAGCGUGGGGAGCGAACAGGAUUAGAUACCCUGGUAGUCCACGCCGUAAACGAUGAGUGCUAAGUGUUAGGGGGUUUCCGCCCCUUAGUGCUGCAGCUAACGCAUUAAGCACUCCGCCUGGGGAGUACGGUCGCAAGACUGAAACUCAAAGGAAUUGACGGGGGCCCGCACAAGCGGUGGAGCAUGUGGUUUAAUUCGAAGCAACGCGAAGAACCUUACCAGGUCUUGACAUCCUCUGACAAUCCUAGAGAUAGGACGUCCCCUUCGGGGGCAGAGUGACAGGUGGUGCAUGGUUGUCGUCAGCUCGUGUCGUGAGAUGUUGGGUUAAGUCCCGCAACGAGCGCA